RNAcentral lists this ribosomal RNA (213 nucleotides) under uncultured bacterium. RNAcentral's name for it is "partial 16S ribosomal RNA". It matches the Rfam family "Bacterial small subunit ribosomal RNA", at positions 30 to 240 of the family's 1533-position model. The record is from RNAcentral.
AUUGAACGCUGGCGGCAUGCCUAACACAUGCAAGUCGAACGGCAGCACAGUGUGUAGCAAUACACAUGGGUGGCGAGUGGCGGACGGGUGAGGAAUACAUAGGAAUCUGCCUUGUAGCGGGGAGUAGUCGGGGAACGUACGGGUAGUACGCAUACGACCUACGGUGAAGAAGGGGAGUCGAAGACUCUCACUAUAAGAUGAGCCUAUGUCCGA